RNAcentral lists this long non-coding RNA (1114 nucleotides) under Nannospalax galili (Upper Galilee mountains blind mole rat). Its description in RNAcentral is "lncRNA (ENSNGAG00000024508.1)". Lineage: Eukaryota; Metazoa; Chordata; Mammalia; Rodentia; Spalacidae. The record is from RNAcentral.
UGGGGGUGGGGUGGGGCCGGCUUCUGUAUCCCAGGCCUUUCGGAGACCCUUCUCAUACAGCGGCCCUGCCCUGGCCUGUCCCGGAGCGGCCAUCGCGGGGACCCAGCCUGCGUUGCUUGGGGGCGGGGACUUCCCAUCCUUUCGUGCAGCUCCACCCGUGACAACGGCUGCACACGAUGGGCAGGUUGGCCCGGUCUCUUACCUGGAUGUUACUCCACCAGCUGGUCCAGGGUGGGCCUCACAACCCCAAGUCAGCUCCGGUUUGUCCCUGGCACUGCUAUGUCCCCAGCACCGGUAGAAGCUUCCAGGCAGCAGCACUGAUCCUGCCCUAGUCGCUCAGUGCUGCCCCCAGUGGCGGUCAGUGGGGUGGCAUUUAAAGGGGCCGCGCCGAAUGGGGGCUGUGCAGUCGGGCUCAAGACACCAGUGGUCUCGCUAGCCCCUGUUUGGGGCUGUGCAGAGUGCAGGGUGAUGGGUCCCUGUGACUUCCCCGGAGCACAAGCCUCUGAGUCUGAAGAGGACACUCGUGCAUCAAGAUAAGUCUGCAGGUGCCCCCGGCUCCACCUCCAGGGUGUCUGCAGGGAGGGUUCCAGGAGCCCCGAGCCCCUGCCUGACUGUGGAGACUGAAUUUGGGCAGCUUCCGGAAUGUAUGUGUGUGGUUGGACCCAGGUGGAAGCAGAUGGGCGACUCUGUACCCCAUUGGCCUCUCCCCCAGGCACUUUCCUUUUUGGUGCUGGAGACGCCAAAAUCUCGGCAGGUACCUGGGGCCAGAUGGCUUGCUCAGCCUGGAGUGGAGCUGAAGCCUGGAGUGUCCAGGCCAGCCUGGACGGCCACUGCCCGCUUCCUUUGGGGAAGGUAUGCGAUCCACGGAUAAGCCGCAGCUUUAAUCCAGCCCUUGCCCAAGGCAGUGUGCCUGCCAGCAUUCCGGCGUGGUGGAUGUUGGGUCACAGAUGCCCUCAGCCCCGAAGGCUGUCUCCACGCCAGGGGUUCCAAAGCCGGGAACUACAGGGCCAGGUGGUGCUUGUCCCCCAGUACCUGCUCAGCGACCAGCAACCAACUGUCCUAUGCUUCCAAGAUAGUUCCCCAGCUUCGGAAAGCCCUCUAGGCCACAGCCCCC